Molecule: non-coding RNA, 24 nt
Filed under: Arabidopsis thaliana (thale cress)
Lineage: Eukaryota; Viridiplantae; Streptophyta; Magnoliopsida; Brassicales; Brassicaceae
Source: RNAcentral
AGUGUGGACUAAUCCCUCAGCGGU